GAUCCAUCAAGAGGGACGACAAUCCCACCGGCAGGAGGCCAGACUUCCACAGGAGAGCUUGGUGGAGGACGGUGGGAAGGAACUAACAGGUGGUAGGAGUAUUCAUAGCCCAUCCCCCCUCCGCUACCUCAAAGGCUUGUUUCCUGUCCCCAAAACGAAGAGCAAGAGGUACUUCCUGCAUACUCAGUACAGAGCAGAACUUUCCACACAGGACAGCAAGCCUUGGGGCCGCCCCACCACACUGCAAGGAGCUAGCCAGGUGUGUCAGUCCAAGGUCUUCAGAGGGGCUACCUGGCCGCCUGCCCAGCCCUGAAAACUAGAUUCAGCCACAGUGUCUCACUCAGUCUGCAAACGCCCUGAGAGUCUCAGACCUUUGAGCCGGCCAGUGGACCCGCUGCUGUGAGCGCUGCGGGAAUUGCCUUAGCGAUAGCCUGCCUGUCCCCAGCACUAGUUUCUCAAGUCGGCUUCCCACCAAGACCAAAGUACCCGGGAGGCCCCGAGACUGGAGGACGAGUGUCCGGAUCAGAAGCGAAUCCAAGCCACCCGGGAGAGCUCGCCUGGGGCUCCAGGACCUGCCUCCGCCCAUGUGAUCCCGGGGCCGCCCCUGCCGCCGCCCCUGGCCCGGGAAGCCGCCUCCUCUGCGCUGCGGAGCCGGGGCGCCGCCACCUGGCCCGCGCCUUGCGGGGGAGCUGGAAGUGGGAGCGCAGACUCUGCCUGGAGCCGCCUCUCUAGGCUGAGGCCGGUUCGAGGUGCCCGCAUCCUCCCGACUGUCCCUGAGUACAGGAGAUCAGUUCAAAUGCCAGACUGUCUUCCCUAGGCGCAGCAUACGGAGACUGCGUCCCUCGAUGUCGUCGUCUCCAGUCAGGCUGGCUUGGUGGACCUCAUUGUGGUCCUCCCCCACCUCCACCGCCCACCCCCGACCCCUCCGCUCACUCCUGGCUCCGAUGUUGGAGCAGAUAUAGUCCCACAAAUCUCGAACCUGGGCCACCCCUGCACCCUCCCAUCUCUUCCCGGACAGACGCCCCACUCAUGGCUUUGUGCUGCCAGCGCAGUGACUUAGCCUCAGAUACCCUUCAACCCUGCGCCUAAGCAGGGAGGCAUGCCCAGACCUAGAAGAAAUGGAGAGCGCUUGGCAGGGUCACCGGGCACACCUCCUCUCCCACUAGCCUGUCUGGAAUGGGCUAGCUCCAACCACUACCAAGAACCCUGUCUGCCCCACCCUUAUGCCAGGCUCCAUGGCUCAGGCCAACGCAGCAGGGGAGGGGGAGCAAGGUGCAGGCCUAGGAACUAGCCUCCAUCCGACCAGCGCUAUACCUGGCAACUCUUGCUCUGGGGAGUUCAGGGCCCACGCAGCUGCCUCCUGCCUCUCCAGUUGCUCUUACAACUUGGCACAGCCAAGAGCACACCUGUGGACCCAGCUGUAACCUGCCUGCCUCAGGUGUGAGUCAUCCCCUCCGAGAUCCCCAAGAGGAUUGCCCUCACCACCCUCACCAUCCUCCUCACCUACAAAGGGCACCGGUGUGGCUCAUAGUUCCUGCAUUUCCCACUCAGCCAGCUUGACUCCAGCCACCUCCCCGGCCCCGCCUCCCACAGCCUCCUCUUGCGCAGGUAAAUGGCUCUACCACACACUAAUUCCAGGGGCUUCCCGGAGGGGCCGCUUGUCUGCUGCACCUGCUCUCUCCUCCCCAGCUAGGCUGGAAGCCUUUUCUGUUUAUUUGUUUUGGUGCUGGCGAUCGAACACAGGGCCCUAGACCUCCAUGGACUCACCCUCAGUCUCCACCCUCAGUCCCCCGAAAAUCUCUUGAGCAGACCUCAGGGAGGGAAGGCACCGCCUUGGGGUCACAUUGUCCUAGUCUCAGGUGCCACAGCUGCCCUUAACGGUGUGAUGCUGGGCAGUGCGCUGUUUAGUUUUUUGUCAACCUGACACAAACUGUAGUUAUCUGGAAAGAGGGAACCUCACCUGAGGAAAUGCUCCCUCAGACUAUCCUGUGGGCAUGCCUGUAGGGGCAUUUCCUUGAUGGCUGAUGGAAUCGGGAGGGUCCAGCCCACUGUGGGCAGUGCCAUCCCUUAGCAGGUGGUCCUGGGUGGUAAAAAUAAAGCAGGCUGUGCAAGCCA
This is a long non-coding RNA of Meriones unguiculatus (Mongolian gerbil), 2115 nucleotides long. RefSeq lists it as uncharacterized. The transcript has 3 exons. The record is from RefSeq and is a predicted model, not a curated record. Lineage: Eukaryota; Metazoa; Chordata; Mammalia; Rodentia; Muridae.